RNA transcript from Erinaceus europaeus (western European hedgehog), 749 nucleotides. RefSeq lists it as uncharacterized. Lineage: Eukaryota; Metazoa; Chordata; Mammalia; Eulipotyphla; Erinaceidae. The transcript has 3 exons. The record is from RefSeq and is a predicted model, not a curated record.
GGAAAUGAAUGUUCCAUCGAACAGAUGGAGCACGUUCGGGGAAUGCAGGAGAAAUUAGCUCGGUUGAAUUUGGAGCUCUAUGGGGAAUUGGAAGAACUUCCUGAGGAUAAGAGAAAAACAGCCAGUGAUUCUAAUCUGGAUAGGCUUCUCUCUGAUUUAGAAGAAUUGAACUCUUCCAUACAGAAGCUCCACUUGGCUGAUGCACAAGAUGUUCCAAAUACUUCUGCCAGCUAAAAUGAAAUGCAGUUGCUUUCUGGCAGUUUGAAGAAAAGCAGCGUUAUUUACUUUCCCAGCUAAAUCCAGUAGGAGAAUCAUCUUCUAAAAAUAAGGAUUUAAAAUAAUUAAAGUUCAAGUGCAAUGAUUGUUUCCACAUUCUGCUUUUAGUAAAUUUGGCUUGCUGUAAUUCACCCUAACCAGAGGACUAAGCCUUAUUGAAGGUUUAAUCAGGAAAUGUGAUACAAAGGUUGUGCUGCUAUGCUUUAUAUUAUUGCCUUAUGGGGUUAUACUUGAAAUGCAUUGUGCUAAAUGUUAUUGCUAGGGCUGAAGAUUUACCCUUCCUGAGCUCACCAGACUUAUCCCAGUAUUGAUGUUAAGUUGAUGAUGCACAGGCUUUUUGUGGCAGCCCUGCUUCAGUUUACAUGAGACAAUCAGUACAUACACUGUUGUGCUUCCCAAAUGGCCAGUGAUAACAAAAUAAAUUUAAUCUCUGUGAAAUUUGCUAUUUUUAAUAAAGUGACUGUUUUAAAUUA